Molecule: non-coding RNA, 618 nt
Organism: Conger conger (European conger)
Lineage: Eukaryota; Metazoa; Chordata; Actinopteri; Anguilliformes; Congridae
Source: the annotation of a RefSeq genome assembly
AUGAAACAAUCUAUUGGACAGAAGCCUCAGAUAUUAGCAAGGACAUGGAACUAUCAAACAGAAGCUACAUUUUUCAAUGAGUUUGAAAACAGUAAACGUCUUAGUGCUCAGAUAGCAAAUGAGACCUUUAACCUGACUGUCUCACAUGUAGAGCUGUCAGAUUCAGCCACAUACUACUGCGCUAUUACACGCUUCAGAGAGAUGAGCAUUGGAGAUGGAACUACUGUAAUUGUGCUGGGGCCAGAGUCCCAGAGCAGGACAGUAGUGCUGCAGCAGCCCGAGUCUGAGUCAGUGCAGCCAGGAGACUCUGUGACUCUGCAGUGUACAGUACACACUGAGACCUGUGCAGGAGAACACAGUGUGCACUGGUUCAGACCGGGCUCAGGAGAGUCCCCUCCAGGAAUCAUUCACACCCAUGGACACAGGAGUGAUGAGUGCCAGAGGAGCUCUGGGACUGUGUCUCCCACACAGAGUUGUGUCUACAACUUCCCCAAGAGGGACCUCAGCCUCUCUGAUGCUGGGACUUACUACUGUGCUGUGGCCACCUGUGGGGAGAUCCUGUUUGGGAACGGGACCAAGCUGGACUUUAAGGGUAGGAACAACACAGUCACAUUGUGA